RNAcentral lists this ribosomal RNA (498 nucleotides) under uncultured bacterium. Its description in RNAcentral is "partial 16S ribosomal RNA". It matches the Rfam family "Bacterial small subunit ribosomal RNA", at positions 30 to 523 of the family's 1533-position model. The record is from RNAcentral.
AUUGAACGCUGGCGGCAUGCCUUACACAUGCAAGUCGAACGGUAACAGGUCUUCGGAUGCUGACGAGUGGCGAACGGGUGAGUAAUACAUCGGAACGUGCCUAGUAGUGGGGGAUAACUACUCGAAAGAGUGGCUAAUACCGCAUGAGAUCUACGGAUGAAAGCAGGGGAUCGCAAGACCUUGUGCUACUAGAGCGGCCGAUGGCAGAUUAGGUAGUUGGUGGGAUAAAAGCUUACCAAGCCGACGGUCUGUAGCUGGUCUGAAAGGACGAUCAGCCAACCUGGGACUGAGACAAGGGCCAGACUCCUACGGGAGGCAGAAAUGGGGAAUUUUCGACAAUGGGCGAAAGCCUUAUCCAGCAAUGCCGCGUGCAGGAUGACGGCCUUCGGGUUGUAAACUGCUUUUGUACGGAACGAAAAGCCCCGGGUUAAUACCCUGGGGUCAUGACGGUACCGUAAGAAUAAGCACUGGCUAACUACGUGCCAGCCGCCGCAGUAA